Molecule: long non-coding RNA, 330 nt
Filed under: Pan troglodytes (chimpanzee)
Lineage: Eukaryota; Metazoa; Chordata; Mammalia; Primates; Hominidae
Description: long non-coding RNA NONPTRT010153
Source: RNAcentral
GGAUGAUGAGAGGAGAUCUCAUGACUCUGCACCCUGGUAACCUCCCCGAUUUCUGUCCUUUCACUGGUGCCAUUUCUAAGGAUUUAUGAGCAGCUUCCAGAAGUACAGAAAAAGAGAGAAGAAGAGAAGAGAAAAUCAGAAUAUAAGUCAUACCGGCUGCGAGCCCAGCUAUAUAAAAAGAGAGUGACCAAUCAACUUCUGGGGAGAAAAGUUCCCUGGGACUGACACAAGUUUAUUUUCCUCAGAGCCUUGGAAUUCUAUUUUAUGAACCUAGAGAAGCAGAAUCCUUACUUUUAUGACUGGGGCCUCCAGUCUGCAUGUAAUCUCCAU